Long non-coding RNA from Choloepus didactylus (southern two-toed sloth), 1100 nucleotides. RefSeq lists it as uncharacterized. NCBI's taxonomy places the organism in Eukaryota, Metazoa, Chordata, Mammalia, Pilosa, Megalonychidae. The record is from RefSeq and is a predicted model, not a curated record. The transcript is spliced from 3 exons.
GUUAAACAUGAAGAGGCUGUGGCUUUGGGGUUGAGCCCCAAGUUAGAAGUUCUUGAGAACCACCCAAGAUUUGACUCUACAGUGGGCUAACUCUGUGACCUUGGGUUCAAUAAGGUGAUGCCAGGGGAAGUGGCUUUGCAAACUGUAAAGUGCAGAAGAAAUGACAGUCUCCUAAGUGGCCUUUCUGUUGCAUGAGGACAGUGCCGUGGUUGUUUAAUAUCAUUGGGAAUGGGACCCCACAAACUGAGGUGCCUGCUCCCUACUGUCAAGGGGAGCUUGGAAGCUACCUGAUGGCCUGUGAGAUGAAAUGACAGACAUCAGAUGGGACAAUGCCAGACUUCCACAUUCAGAACCCAGCAUCCUGGGCCUCUGGGGACUGUUUUUAUGAUCCUGGUAUGUUUUAGGAGACCAGGUGAUUGAUUUUUGCAGUUUAGUAAUUACCUGGGAUGAUUGCCCAGUGUCCCAGAUUUCCUUUCUGGCUUCCUUUCACGAUGAAUCCUGGUCUCCUUUAGCCCAUGAAAUCUCCCCCUCCCUUUGGGAAACAUUGACAGAGUUUGAAUGUGGGGGUAUACACUCAUGGACUAAAAGCAUAUGGACCCACAGAAUUUUAAAGCUAGAAGGAAUCUCCGAUACAUGCCCAGGCUCCAUUGACCAGUGUGCGGAUUAGGGAACUGGCCAAAGCUACAAAAGUAGAAGUGACUUCUCAGGGUAUACAACAGGUUAGUGGUGAAGUGGGGUCCAGAGCCCAGGUUGCCAGGUUGCCUGAUGUGCCGUUUUGUACUGUCUUGGUGCUUCUUGUCCCCCUUUCCUUCUCCUGAUUACCAUUCAAACAAUACUUGCUUGGCUAGUACAGUCACUGGACUCUGCUUCCAACUCCUGCUUCUCCAGGCCUUCCAGAAUCCACUGAAAGUGAGAUGGAAACAACCAUUUAGAAAAUGGAUCCUAGAUUUCCACUCAUUCGUGUCACCCUCAUCCCCCCCCACUCCAAAUUCCAGUGAAGUCUGAUCCAAAACUACUUACUCCUCUGUUUCCAGGGCCCCAAAAGAGCCCUCUAGGCCUGUUUUCUCCUGUUCUGCACAUUUCCUUUUCUGUACAUACUC